This 1020-nucleotide long non-coding RNA is filed under the name Fragaria vesca (wild strawberry). RNAcentral's name for it is "long non-coding RNA (FVES_LNC005492)". Lineage: Eukaryota; Viridiplantae; Streptophyta; Magnoliopsida; Rosales; Rosaceae. The record is from RNAcentral.
CCAUAUGUUUCUGCAUAAUGUUGGUCCUACACUAGUAAUAGAACUAAACCGAAAAGCCACAAACAUUUAUUCACAUUCACAAGAGAUUCAGUCUUGGUCAUAUCAGUUCAUACACAACAGUGGAUACCAAAACCGAAAAAGGAAAUUUCAUUCACUCACAACAAUUGACAGAAAAUGUGUCCACUCCCUCAAAGAAGCUGCAACCUUAAGCCUGCACAACCAGAUUAGGAAUGAACAAGCUCAUCGGUUCCCUGCAUAAGUUCACACCAGCACAAAAACAAUCAAUACAAAACUAGAUCAACCCAAAUGUUCAUAACACAUUCUCUAAUAUCUGUCCAACAUACCUGUGAUGUAAUAGCCAAGAAUAUAAUGAAAGGAAGAAGUUGCGACUAAGUAAUAGGUUCCUCCAAUAAUAGCAGCAAGAUAUGAGUUGCAUCAAAACAAAAAUCCAACCAGUUAUUAUCUUGAACUAGAUUACACUAGUCAUCAAUGUGAUACACAAGUAUCAAGUUAUAUAUUCAUUUGGUUAAGCUCAUCUUAAUUAGUCUCUAAACAACAUCUUUUGGCGAUCAUGUUCGAAGGCAAAAGGUUCACAAAGACAGCAAUCAAUAAAAUUUUCAGCAUGGAAACUUUCAUUUCAUCUAAAAGAUCAACCAUCCAAAACUAUAGUUGCUCAUGUCCUCAACAAAGAUCAUAGAAUAGCAUAUACGAUAGCCCGCAGGUAAAAUGUAGGCAACAUAGGGCCUGAGUUAAGCAGUAUCAUUAACUACGAAAUGUGACAAACCGGGGCAUAGUUACCCCAGUUUUCUGGAGAUCCCUCUUGAAAACCACUACCAGGACAAGCACUUUAGCCGACGAAAAUUUUUUGUCGGCCUGUCAGCUUAAUUCGUCGGCUAAGAUCUUAGCCGACGACCUUUCGUCGGCUAAGAUUUCGUCGGGAAAAGCUCGUCUGUGGUGACUUUAGCCGACGACACACGUAUAAGUCGUCGGCUAUAGUCCAGACUUUAGCCGACGACAUUU